RNAcentral lists this ribosomal RNA (548 nucleotides) under uncultured bacterium. RNAcentral's name for it is "bacterial SSU rRNA". It matches the Rfam family "Bacterial small subunit ribosomal RNA", at positions 355 to 896 of the family's 1533-position model. The record is from RNAcentral.
UGGGGAAUUUUGGACAAUGGGCGCAAGCCUGAUCCAGCCAUUCCGCGUGCAGGAUGAAGGCCCUCGGGUUGUAAACUGCUUUUGUACGGAACGAAAAGGCCUGGGCUAAUACCNNGGGGUCAUGACGGUACCGUAAGAAUAAGCACCGGCUAACUACGUGCCAGCAGCCGCGGUAAUACGUAGGGUGCAAGCGUUAAUCGGAAUUACUGGGCGUAAAGCGUGCGCAGGCGGUGAUGUAAGACAGGUGUGAAAUCCCCGGGCUUAACCUGGGAACUGCAUUUGUGACUGCAUCGCUGGAGUGCGGCAGAGGGGGAUGGAAUUCCGCGUGUAGCAGUGAAAUGCGUAGAUAUGCGGAGGAACACCGAUGGCGAAGGCAAUCCCCUGGGCCUGCACUGACGCUCAUGCACGAAAGCGUGGGGAGCAAACAGGAUUAGAUACCCUGGUAGUCCACGCCCUAAACGAUGUCAACUGGUUGUUGGGUCUUCACUGACUCAGUAACGAAGCUAACGCGUGAAGUUGACCGCCUGGGGAGUACGGCCGCAAGGUUG